RNAcentral lists this ribosomal RNA (154 nucleotides) under Dactylella gampsospora. Its description in RNAcentral is "5.8S ribosomal RNA". It matches the Rfam family "5.8S ribosomal RNA". From Rfam's summary of the family: 5.8S ribosomal RNA (5.8S rRNA) is a component of the large subunit of the eukaryotic ribosome. Lineage: Eukaryota; Fungi; Ascomycota; Orbiliomycetes; Orbiliales; Orbiliaceae. The record is from RNAcentral.
AACUAUCAACAACGGACUCUUGUUCCCGCAUCGAUGAAGAACGCAGCGAAACGCGAUAGUUAAUGUGAAUUGCAGAAUUCAGUGAAUCAUCGAGUCUUUGAACGCACAUUGCGCCCAUUGGUAUUCCUUUGGGCAUGUCUGUUUGAGCGUCAUU